RNAcentral lists this long non-coding RNA (430 nucleotides) under Mus pahari (shrew mouse). RNAcentral's name for it is "lncRNA (MGP_PahariEiJ_G0006391.1)". The record is from RNAcentral. Lineage: Eukaryota; Metazoa; Chordata; Mammalia; Rodentia; Muridae.
GGAAAAAGACUUUUCUUUUUUUCUUUCUAGAGGAAUUCUGCCCAGACUCUCCAGCAGUUGGUAGCAGGCAAGCUUUCUCCUGUGUCGCCUGGAAAAGUUGCAAAAUUGCUCUUCACCUGUAAGAACAUGCAUUUUAUCUUCCAGUCUCUUCUUGUCAAUUUGGAAAUUGCAGACAGCCCGGCUCAGGAGAAAUGGCUUUGUGCAUUAAUUUCCCUGGCUGACACUGAGAAUAAGCAGCUCUGUCAGCCAUGGAAGUUGUUUGAAGGUGAUUAGGAGAGAUGUUUGUCUACAGAUUAGACAUUUAAAUUGUGUGUGUAUGUAUAUUAUACCAUCACCUCUAGACACUCAUAGAAGAGGGUUUCAGCUUACGCAGCCUUCUGCCUUACCAGGGCUUGCCUUUGCUCCUGAUACUGUGUCAGGAAGCAGAAGG